AUACGGAGGAUCUGCGCGUUAUCCGGAUUUAUUGGGUUUAAAGGGAGCGUAGGUGGAUUGUUAAGUCAGUUGUGUAAGUUUGCGGCUCAAUCGUAAAAUUGCAGUUGAAACUGGCAGUCUUGAGUACAGUAGAGGUGGGCGGAAUUUGUGGGGCAGCGGUGGAAUGCUUAGAUAUCACGAAGAACUCCGAUUACGAAGGCAGCUCACUAGACUGUUACUGACACUGAUGCUCGAAAGUGUGGGUAUCAAACAGGAUUAGAUACCCUGGUAGUCCACACAGUAAACGAUGAAUACUCGCUGUUUGCGAUAUACAGUAAGCGGCCAAGCGAAAGCAUUAAGUAUUCCACCUGGGGAGUACGCCGGCAACGGUGAAACUCAAAGGAAUUGACGGGG
RNAcentral lists this ribosomal RNA (393 nucleotides) under uncultured bacterium. RNAcentral's name for it is "partial 16S ribosomal RNA". It matches the Rfam family "Bacterial small subunit ribosomal RNA", at positions 523 to 918 of the family's 1533-position model. The record is from RNAcentral.